RNAcentral lists this ribosomal RNA (504 nucleotides) under uncultured marine eukaryote. Its description in RNAcentral is "SSU rRNA". It matches the Rfam family "Eukaryotic small subunit ribosomal RNA", at positions 617 to 1120 of the family's 1831-position model. The record is from RNAcentral.
GGUUAAAAAGCUCGUAGUUGGAUCUCGGCGGUCUGAGGGCGGUUCGCUUGAUUGAGUGCUACUGCUCUAUAGGCCGUGGUUUUGCCAGAGGUCUCGGGGUGCUCUUAACCGAGUGUCCUGCGAUGCUGGCAGGUUUACUUUGAAAAAAUUAGAGUGCUCAAAGCAGGCUUUUACGCCUGAAUAUUCGUGCAUGGAAUAAUAGAAUAGGAAGUCGUUUCUAUUUUGUUGGUUUUCGGAAAUCGACUUAAUGAUUAAUAGGGACAGUCGGGGGCAUUUGUAUUCAAACGACAGAGGUGAAAUUCUUGGACCGUUUGAAGAUAAACUACUGCGAAAGCAUUUGCCAAGAAUGUUUUCAUUAAUCAAGAACGAAAGUUAGAGGUUCGAAGGCGAUUAGAUACCGCCCUAGUUCUAACCAUAAACGAUGCCAGCUAGCGAUCUGCCGACGUUUUCUUUGUAGACUCGGCAGGAAGCUUCCGGGAAACCAAAGCAUUUGGGUUCCAGGGG